UCAGAGGUUUGCCCUGUUCCUCUAUAGAGCCAGGCAGCUUCCGGCCGUCAGAUUAGUCGUCAGUGCGCAGACACCGCCCUCCGUGGACACGCCCUCUAGGCGAAAAGUCCCAUGCAAGCAGUGAGAGCGCGGCGGGACACGGAAAUCGAAUCUGUUCUCUGUGAGAGAUCCUAGGAGAGGAAACCGGGAGCCCGGGAGAACUAAAAUUCCCAAUUAAAAGUGAAUUUAAAUCUGAGCUGUUCUUAGACCCAGAAUUUCUUGCCUGAAGGAGGAGUCAGGUCCCCACAAGGAAAGACCCUGCAACUGUAUAAAAAAAGAAUCUAAAAAGAUCAUGACUCCUUCAGUCCUUUCCCAAAGAGACCUAUGGAAAUUUCCUCAGGGGUUAAGCUUGCAUUACAGUCUCAUGGCUCUCCUAGCCUCCUCCAGCCCUCUCCCCAUUUCUUGCACCCAAGAAUUUUCCCCAUCACACCUCUUGCACAGCUAAUCCCAUCUUGGUAUCUGCUUCUCAGAGGAUCAUAACUGACACAGGAAGAGGAAGUCUGAUACGUGGACAGUCGAGUUGAUAGUGCAUGGGUGCAAGUAAAAAAUGAAGUGGGCUGGGCGCAGUGGCUCACGCUUGUAAUCCCAGCACUUUGGGAGACCAAGGCGGGUGGAUCACCUGAGGUCAGGAGUUUGAGACCAGCCUGGCCAAUAUGGUGAAAUCCCAUCUCUACUAAAAAUGCAAAGAAUUAGCUGGGCAUGGUGGCAGGCACUGUAAUGCCAGCUACUUGGGAGGCUGAGGCAGGAGAAUUGCUUGAACCCGGGAGGCAGAGGUUGUAGUGAGCUGAUGUCGCGCCACUGCACUCUAGCCUGGGCGACAGAGGGAGACUCCAUCUCAAAAAAGAAAAAAAAAGUGAAGUGGUGCUGCAUUAUGGACUCACUCAGGUGACCAAAAGAGAGCAGAGAGGGAAAUCGUCCCAAAUAGGCAGAGCUUCAAUGUUGCAUCUCAUCAUACACCUUGGGUGGAAAAGGUGUUUCCAGUGUUAGAAUAUGCAAGAAUUCAUGGAGAGUGGCAAGUGACAUGACUGGAAAACCCCUCAAGAACCUGAAAGAGGAAAUCUUGACAGAUUGGAGACAAAGAGAUUGGAGAAACGGGGAUGUGAAUGGAACUAUGAGAGUGGACAGAAAGUGUCAAGAUCUUUGUAUCACUUAUUAAUGCCUAACCAGGAGCACCCACAACAGAAUAGACAUUAAACAGCUGCAUAAACAAAUGACUCAGCCAGUUGAUAUCAGUCAGCCUGUGUCAACAGCCACCCCAAUGCUGACACAAAGGGCACUAGAACAGAAUAGCCUGAUGGCAGAGAUGAAGUGUGCAUGGCUCCAGCAGCAUGGACUCCUCUCAUUAAGGCUGAUCUAGCUACUUGCUGCCCCAUGUCUAACUUGCCAGCAACAGAGACCAAAGUUGAGCCCCGGAAUCAGCACCAUUCCUCAAAGAGACCAGCUAGUCACUUGGUGCUUCUGGGAGGGUUGGCAGCUGACAUUCUCACCUGAGUCCCUUUCUAGGACUUGCCCUUGCCUGAAGAGAGCUGUGUUGCCCAACAUGAUGCCUCCUCCAAGGUACAGUCCACACCCAGUGACUAAUAAACAGGGGUUACAAAGGCAUGCCUGCUUGCCCCAGUUUGGGACAACUUUACCAGGCCAACCCAGUCUCAAGGCUCUCUGCAGGAACAGGUGAGGCCAUAGUUGUGACAACAUCACAGUUCAGUUUCUCCUCUGCCCAAGCCUUCUUCCUUCAUUCCUCCACAGAUGUUGAUCCUGAGAUUCCUUUGCAGUAAACUUCCUCCAUGCAAGCUUCAUCUCAGAGUCUGUUUCCUGGGGAAACUAACCUGCAACUGAUACAAAUGCCUAUUCUGUGAGAUAAAACACUAAAAGUACAAUGUGUGUGGUAUAAAUAUUCUGCUACAGGAAUACAAAGUUAGAUAUCAUUUUUGACUUAGGUAGUCAGAGAAUGGAGAUAUUCUGAGUUGGACUUCUGAGAUAGGAUUCAAUAGGUGAAGAGAAGAUGAGAUGGCAUAAGACUAACAUAGGCAGAAUUUUGCUAAACGAAUUGGAGAUGAAACAUCAUAAGUGCAGGUGCACAAGUAGAAAAGUAAAAUCAGAGCUCAAGGAAGGGGAAGUGAUCCAGCUGGGCAGAAAUAUGGGGCCUAUAUAGAGAUAUACCAGGAAAUAAAGCCAGGACGAAUGGCAGGGUAGGACCUGAUUGUUAAGGGUCUUAAAUGCUGGGGUCAAGAUUGUGGCCCUUACUUAAAAGUUGGUUGGGCAUGAUUUUGGGAGUUUUAACAAAAGAUGUGGCAAACUCAAAGCUUCCUUUUCAUGUAAAGUAUAGAGAAGUGGAGGUUCAUAUCAUUAAAUCACUGUAAUUUCAGUGUGAACUUCCUAACAAUUUGAGCUAACCGUGAGAUAGGACACCUUACCAAGCAAUGAGCUCUCCAUUAUCUAAACAGAAGCUGAAUUUCAAGUCCAUGUAGAGGAAGUCUUGUGUUGACUAGAACAUAAUAUGUUUGGGGGGACUUUUCUUCUUUUUUACUGAUAUUUACUAACUUGGAUAUUGUGCUAAGUGCUUUACAGGUAUUCUUAUUUAAUCCUCACAAGGCAGUAUGGUAGAUAAUAUAUUAUCUUGAAAAUAAUGGGCCAGGCACAGUGGCUCACGCCUGUAAUCCCAGCACUUUGGGAGGCCGAGGCAGGUGGAUCACCUGAGGUCAGGAGUUCAAGACCAGCCUGACCAAUAUGGUGAAAUCCUGUCUUUACUAAAAAUACAAAAAUAAGCCUGACGUAGUAGCUCACACCUGUAGUCCCAGCUACUCGGGAGGCUGAAGCAUGAGAAUCACUUGAACCCACGAGGUGGAGGUUACAGUGAGCCAAAAUCACACCACUGGACUCCAGCCUGGGCAAGAGAGCAUGACUAGGUCUCAAAAGAAAGAAAUAAAGAAGGAAAGUAAUGAGCAAAAAAUGCUGAGUGGACAGUAUUAAAUUUUAAAAAUCCUAAUGUAUUAAAGAAGGAGAAAAGUACAAAAAUUAGUCAAUAAGCAGAGAAAGAAAAUAUAAAGGUAAAAAUGUAUAUUAUCCAAAUGAAGCCUCUUUCUUAAGAAGAAAAAAUUGAGGAAAUUCAAAAAAUAAGUUAGGAAAUAGUGAGUAAAAUUAUGAAGUUAAAAAUUCACCAAAAAUUUAUUGAUAUGUCCAAGUUCAGCUUGUAGUGAACAGACUCUUCUUACGCAGAAUUUGAGCAAAGUGCUAACACAACAGAGUUAGGUAAUGGGAUGAGCGCCAGUCAGAUCACUCUAUUUUUGGAAACUGUUUUCAUGACUGCUUCCCCUUAGUCAUAGACAGGCUAUAUAAAAAGCUGUCAGAGUGGAAAGAGGGAGAGGAUUUGUGAAAAAUUUUUUAUUUAUUUAUUUUUUUUAGCAAGUUGUUAUGGUUCUGUAAGUCACCACCCUCCCAAAGGGAUGAAGUGUCGGGGUGCACUCCCCUCACCUCAGCCUAGUAGGGGGACUUCCAGGAGAUAAUGAGAGAGUUUGAUGUUUCCUCAAAUUUACAGACACAAAGACUGGUGCCUGGCUUCUCCUGAUAAAGCUAAACCUGCAUGUGGCUGGUCUCUAGUUGGCUAGAUAGUAGUAGUUAAAAUGAAAAGAAACACUUAAUGUUAGAUGCCGUCCAAUAGGGCCACCUAAAGGGACGGAAGGUUCUCAGCAGCAAGAGCCCAGAGGUAGAAGCAAGACUCCUAGCGGGGAAGGAUCGAGUCGCAAGUGAAAACCUAGACAAAGAAGCAUCUGUCCUGGUCCAGAGGCUUCCCCAAUAAAGAUGUCUCACACAACUCUAAGAAGUUAGAACUUGAGAAAAAGACUAACAAGAAAAAGAGUAAGGUGUGUGUGUGGAAGAGGUGAGGCAGUUGUUUUCCUAUAAAUAAUGUUAAAUUAAACUAAAUUUGGUCUGAGGAUGCCUCGUAAUUUGAGUCUCUACAUAACAAACUGCAACCUAACUUAGGAGUAUUUUUUUUUUGUACUAACGAGGUGAGUCUCAGCCAAUCACAGCAGCCAAGCUACAGCCAAUCCCAUGUGGCCAACUGAUCAGCCCAUGCCCAGUAAGACAACUGCUCACCUGUAACUACUCAAGCUGCUUCCGGACCUCAUUUCCAUUUGCUGUUUAUAAGUGUUGCCUGCCCACCUUGCUGAGCAGAACUCUCUGAACUUCUUUCGUUUUUGAGGGUUACUUGAUUAGAAAAUUGUUCUUUGUUCAGUUAAACUUUGCUAAAUAUAAUUCGUUUAAAGAUUUUCUUUUAACAACAAAGAUGGGGAUAUUUGAACAAUACCUUGGUUGGAGCUGACAUUCUAAUUUCUAAAUUGAGGCUAUUUGUAUUUUUAGCAGGACCCAAGGACUGUCACUUAAAAGCAGGCUAAAAAGCCUUGAAAUUUUCUAACUUUCCAUGCAAGAGCAGUGAUAGAUAACCCCACUACACAAAAUGUCAUGGGGCCAUGGAAGACAAAAAAUAAAGUUGUGUUUCAACUGCGUCUCUGAAAGAUACGAUUAUAGCACUUACACAAUAACCACUUGAGAAAAAAGAACAGCCUUGCACCAAAAAUAGAAUGAGAAGUACAAGCACAGUGAAGUAACAGGUCACUUUACAGAAAAAGUAAAGUGAGGCUCAAAGGGGACGAGCAAAUUGCCCAAGCCUGCAUGGGUGAUAAGUAGCAGAUCUGGGGCUCGAAUCCAGAUCCUGAGCUUUUAAUACCUAUGCGACACUUCCUCUGUUCCUUCCCUUAUGAGAAUGUGAUUAUGUUCAUUGGGGUGUAUCCUCUGCUAUGGUUUACAGGGGAGGGUUCACACUGUCAUCGUUCUGAAAGAUUAUUUUGAAUUUAAAAAGCUGGCAAGAUAUCUCUGAACAAUGGAACAUAGCCCAAGGCUGCAAUUUUGUUGCACACAUUACAGUGUUUUAAGGCCACUGGUGGCCUGUUCUUUGAGAUGAAAACAAUACAUCAGUAGGAGCUAAGUGAAAGAGAGUAAACUGGUCUCCAGGUACCCAAAUAGUGUGUGAAGUCAACAGAGGAACACUUCCUGUGGUCUGUUAAUAAUUCAGAAGCCCUUUAUCCUCAACCCUCCUCCACUCUCUAAUUCCUAAGUCUUCUUCCUAGUGUCUCUGACUUCCUCUUUCCAAAUAGUCUGGGCUGGCAGGCUGCAUUUAGGUAAUCACUGCACAAUACAAUUACUGAUUCUGUUUACAAGAUUCUUGCUAGUAUUUUAUUUUUACCCUUUAUAGUGUUUGGCUUUUAAAAGCAAAUGAAUAUGGAGUCAUGAUUUUUUGGCUGCCUUUCUCUUUGGCAUAUGAUAUUUAUGCCUUUAAAACUUGUUGUUGUUGUUCCAGGGCAUUUCACUGAUGAAAUUUAUCAAAAUGAACCUACGAAUCAGCCACUAAGAGACUGCAUGAAUAAAAACUGUUAGUAGGAAAAUGAUUAUGACAAAAAAACCAAAAAAAAAGCCAAAAAAAAAAAACAAAGAACAGCUUUAAGAAAAAGCCAGACUGUUAGCUUUUUUUUUUUUUUUUAAGAAGGGUUGAUAGUCUCAAACCCAGCAAUAAUUUAUCAAAGUCUGUCGCCCUGAAUGAAAUUAGAUUUCCUUUUUAGCUUCAGGAAUAGGCCAUUCCUGGAAAAGUGGAGCGCAGAAACAUUUGGUAAAAAAAUUUAUUUUUACUCACAGAAAGAGUAAUUUGCAAUGUUAUUUCUAGUGAAGGGAUGGGAACCAGGAUUCAGAUAUUCAUCUGUCUACAAUACUGAGGUCCUCCUACCUCCUCUCCCCUACAAAGGGGACCCUUGCAGUAUACAAAAGUAUUAAAUAUUUUUAAUGUAUAUUCUUAUAUCCUUUUUUCAAGCGUAAGUAUCAGUCAGAUUUCAGAGUAUAAGCUGAAGCAACAAAUAGUAAGAAAGUCCAUGGAUGAAGAUAUGUUCUUACUCAUUUUUUUACUAUUUUAUUGUUGGCUACUUCUUUUAUUUGCAUUAGAUUUAGUGUCACUAAGCUGCUAUACACGUACUCAUUUGAAGAGAUGUGCUAAAGAUUUUGGUGUGUUUUGCUAUUGAUUAUCCUAUCCAAGAGUUUGGGUUAUUCUACGAUCAAGAUGGCGGUCUGCAGUGAGCCCACCUGCCUGCCAACCUCUGCAACAACCAGCUGAGGAUAAUUGUACUGGGCUGACGCCAAGGCCAUGAUCAGAUCUGCUAGUGGCUCAGUGCACUGACUUGACACGACAUGAGGCAAACAAGCGAGGAGAGUGGCCCACCACAGUCUAAGAUUCUAUUGGGUUACCUCUGAAAUGCGAAGACAUGGUGCUCACAGAAGAGAACAAUGGGUACAAGGACUGCAAGGCUGCAAAGCUUCAUCCCAACAGCAAUUUUCUGUACAAUAAAUUUCUCUGAAGAGAAAAACCCAGAUCAUUGAUUGCAUAACAGCCUUCUUUACACACUGGUUAAAAUGUAAUGGCAUGUUCCCUCUUGUUCCUGUGGGUCAAUCAACUUAGCUUCCAUUUCCACUCCCAAAAAGAGAAAUACUAUUGGCUUAGUUAGGCUGUUGCUUGAUAAUUAAACACUCAAAAAGAGUAUGAUGAGAGUUGCUCUUAAUUUAGACUAUCUAGAAAAUGUGUAACUCCAUGGAGAAGAUAGGGCCAAGAAUAAAAGGAUAGUAAUACAGUAGCAUCUUGUCUGGUUUGUUGCAGAACAAUAGCUAUAGAAUAUUGACUAAUGGUUAUAUAGCCUAUGUUGAGGGAGAUCUACAGUGAAGUAGUAUAAAUGUUUUCCCUUGCCUCUGACUUUUUCAACAUUUUAAAUUUAUGAAGACAUAAAAAGUGAGUCCCUCAAAUCUGGCUAAUCCAAUCCAAUGCUGAAGUGCAGUUUGUCAGGAUGAUUACAGGAUCUCUGUUCAAAAAGAUGUUUCCUUGACCAUAUGGAAUGAUGGGCCCACCCCCGAUAGGAAUACUAUUUCAUGGAAGCUGGUUCAAACAGUAAAGACAUCAGGUCACUUUGAAUCUCAUUUAUUUAAAGGUCACCAUAAUAGCCAUCAAUUAAAUCGAGGCCCAUCCCCUAUCAUCUUGAAAGUAGCGUCGAAUAACAUUUUGUCUAGUAUGAGGCCAUAUCCCACCCUCUGUAAGUGGGUGGAGCCCUCUUCCCCUACAUUCCCAUUGGUUAAUGUACUUGAAUGUUCUUGAAGUCAGAAUUGGCAAAUUUGCAAAAUAAAUCAGCCUGCCCACAAUUAACUUCUGAGAAGAAAAUGAUUUUUUUUUCUUUUUCUCUUUUUUUUUUUUUUUUUUUGAGACGGAGUCUCACUCUGUAGCCCAAGCUGGAGUGCAGAGGCGCGAUCUUGGCUCACUGCAACCUUC
Molecule: long non-coding RNA, 7393 nt
Organism: Symphalangus syndactylus (siamang)
Lineage: Eukaryota; Metazoa; Chordata; Mammalia; Primates; Hylobatidae
Source: RefSeq, a predicted model, not a curated record